CAGGGACAUAAAUCAUCAUUGUAUAUGACUACAGAAAGUGAAAGAUAACUGAGACUCAGGCAGUUCACCUCCAGAUGAGCAGCAGAGACAUACCGGAUCAAAGUAAUCAGACAAACAAGAAGAGAUAUUUCCACACAUUUUGCAAUGAGAAACUCCACCAGCACCUUUACCUGCUCACAUGAAACCACUGCUUUCAAGUCACACGGCUGCUUGGGAAGCGAGGCAUGAUUGGGCACAGGGCAAAUGCAAAGAGCUCCAGUGACUGAUUUCCAACCCAUGAAACACAGCUGAUAGACAGGAACACAGUGAGAAGGCUUG
This 318-nucleotide long non-coding RNA is filed under the name Gallus gallus (chicken). RNAcentral describes it as "lncRNA (ENSGALG00010004886.1)". The record is from RNAcentral. Lineage: Eukaryota; Metazoa; Chordata; Aves; Galliformes; Phasianidae.